CCGCCCCGCCCCCGACCUUGCCCGCAUGCCCCUGACUCAGGUGUUCGUGGGCAGCGGGGAUAGACGCUGACCCUGCGGGUGACCUCGCCCCACACGCCCCUGGACUAAUAUUAGCAGCUUGACAGCGGUCAAACCUAUCAUCAGCUCCUCCUCCAAACUGAAAAGUUAGGAGUGGCCCGGGCCCUGGCCCGGGCUGGAGAUAUCCCACACUGUGUGUUUUGGGGCCCCCUGCCCUGCCUGAGCCCCAGCCCGGCCUCCCGCACCAGAAACCCGGAUCUGGUGGGCCGAGGGGAGGGGCGGCCCCCGGGACUGACAAGCGCAGCUGUCCUGCGGUGACGCCUGGAAUCUGGGUUCCUUUGGCCAAGAACCAGGUCUCCUUUUCUUUGAGGCUUUCUUCAGUCAUUUGUUCUUUCUUCUGAGGCCACUGGGCAGGUUUUUGGGGUUUUUUUCAAUCUGAGGUGCUCUACCACCUUCAGGUAGGGUCUCCUUAUUUUGCCCACCCUGGGCUAGAACAGGCAGUCCUUCAGCCUCACCCUCCCAGAUUCCAGGCAUGUACUGCCACGCCUGGAUAGGUCAGAUCUGGAGAGGCCUCAUCCUGAAAACCAUCAGGCUCUGGCCUUACCUGAUGGGAGACCAGCUAGCUGCGCCCUGAAAUCCUUGCCAGCUCCCCAACAGCUGAACUACAGUAAAAGUAACAUUUAAAGAGAACUUCUUCAAAAACGUCCAUCUGGUCCACCUCCAGAUGAGCGAUCCUCAAAGGAGAAGGGGAGCGCAGAGCUUGAUUUGUAAAAUCAGGUUUCAUUUAGUAACGUACUUUUCAGAAAACCAUGUCGUUUUUAACACAGACCCAUAUAAAUAUAUAAAGAUUGAAAUUCUUGGGUGGUAAUGCACCUGCUUGGCAUGUUGAGGAAAUCCAGGCCUGGACGUUCUACCGCGUCUCUUUGGGUCAAGUGAGAUCAUUUAAAAAGCGAACACCGGACAGAAUGGAGCACAGCACUGCAGACAUUUCCUUACCGAAAUGUGCUUCGGGGUUUAUGCCGUCAGCUAAAUUGAGAGAUGAUAAAGAAACUCCCCCCAGCACAUCCCUGGGAGAUGGGCAAGCGGCUCCAUCUUCUGCAGUCUCCACGUGAGGAUCUGGGAGACAAACAUCACUGGGUUCCCUAACCCAGGAAGAACAAAGCUUUGCUAGACAGCUUGGUUGCCAUCUUGAAUUUCCUUGAAUGAUGCAACCUUGGAGCCAGCUACCUAUAGAUUGAAACCUCUACAGACUAUGAACCAAAAUAAUAAACCUUUUCUCCUAGAGUUGUGAGUGUCAGAAACAAGACAGUAACUAAGACACCAGUCCUGGCUGAUGCAGAGCAACAGUAACAUUGGUUUAGUGUAUGUGAAAGUUAGACAAAGUGGAUUGAGGAGCUAGAGUUGGUAUUGGUUGGAAGUUAUAUAGUAGGGUUUUCACAUGAUCACAAACACUGGAUUGUGGCACACAAUAAGCAAUUGUGGGCCAAAUAGACAAACAGAAUCUAAGAAAACAUUUAGAGCACCACUUAAAGAAUAUAUAGAAAGGUUUUAAUAUUGUAUACAAAUGCAUAAAUAAUAUGUAAUACAUGUCUCUGGCACACAUGCACACAUACAUAUGUCUGUCCCCGAGGGUCUGAAGGCUGUCUGUAGCUAAAGUUAAGGCUGAGAAGCCAGACCAAGCUAAGCCAUGCUUCACAAAUUCUAGGAUGCUUCAGAAUCCACUGGAAGGCUUGGUACAAUGGGUUCUGGCUUCCACACCCAGAAUUCCUAAUUCAGUAGGCCUGGGUGAGGCCCAGGAAUGUGCAUUUCUUGUAAGUUCCCAGGGGAUGCCAGAGCCCUAGGGCUCACAGGACCGCCAUACAUCGAAUGCCUCUUCUGCAGUCUUCCGAACCUGAUGGGAAGAACCCUCUGGAGUUCCUGAAGGAUUGACGGGACACAAGUGAUGAAACAUGCUGUCAUGGGACAGAUAUCACAGCUGUGCAGCCUUGCACACAGGCGAGGCAGGGCACGCAGCAGCUGAGGAAGCUGGGGUCGAUCCCAGCCCCAAGAUGAGGAGAAGAGUAAAAGAAAUCCAAGCGUGGCAGAUGGUACAAAAUGCCAUGAUAGGAAUGUGCAUGGUUUGACCACCUUCUUUGCUCUGUGUGUGUAUGCACCUGUAUGUGUGUGUAUGCGUGUGUGUGCAUGUAUGUGUGCAUGUGUGCAUGUGUGUGUGUGAAUGAGUCCGAUGCUCUCAGAGCACGGAGGCUGGGAGUCAGGUGACCUUGCAGAGUCACAGCCUGCAAGUCUUUGUCCAAACAGCAGAGCCCAGGAAAUGUGCGUGUGGCAGCUGGUAGGGGCUUUAGGGUUGGGGCUUAUGAUGUCUGUGGGGAUUUCACGACGCUGAGUGUAGGGAAGAGUGAGCUCAUUUAUACAUGUGGUGAAUCUUCUGCUAGACUGGGUUGUAUACCAUAUAUACUCAGUGUCUGAGGCUCUCAACAUCCAGUGUUGAAAUCCUGCUGCUGUUUUUGGGGAUCAGGAAGGAGUGAGUGUUGGAGAGGGUGAUGAGAGGUGUCCUCAUGUGGAAUCGGUGUCCUUGCAAGAGAAGGAGGCGGCAAGGAGCUCUGCCUCCGCUCUCCACCGAGAAUCCACCCAGGGGGCCGUGGGCAAACAGGAAAGGGACCCCUCUGACACCGAGUCCGCCUGGGCCCCCAGAGCUGCGAGGGACACCUGCAUGAAGCCGCCAGACUGGUGAUUGUUCCAGCAGCUCAAACUAAACGCACUAAAACAUUUCCACACAGACCUAAUGGGAAACAGGAAGAGACUUCUCCCACAAUGCUAAUGUACACGUGUGCUUAGUAAAAUCACAUUCUAGAGAAGCUUCCUUAAUUUUAUAGACACCCCGGUAGGUUCUGUUUUGAGUUAAUGUUCAGCCAGGCCUUUCCCCCUCAAAGAAUCCAAAUUUACUUUUGGCAAAAAUCCAAAAUAGGCCCAAGGAGCUGGCAUCUGGGCAGUGGCAGGGCAUCUCCAGGGGCUGCCCUCCAGCCUCGGUUCCUGCGCCUUCCUCCACCUUCAGAACCCCCUUCCUGCCUCAGUUUCCCACUGAAGGACCCUGUGAUUCUGCUGGGUCCAACUCAAUGAUCCAGAAUAGCAUCCUUACUUUAGGGUCCACUGAUUCCACCUGCAAGCUCAAUUCCCCUUUAACAUGGGAGAACUUCUUGGCAGAAGUUUCAGCAGCGCUGUGCACUGACCGCUAUGUGGCAGGAGGUAUUCCAGAUGUCGCCUUAAGCGAUCGCGCACCGGGGCCUGUGGGCCGCCCCUCCAGGCAGUCACUGCCCAAAGCAGUGCACUGGGACUUAGGCUCCCGCAGUCACACAGCUUCUCUGUCCAUCUGACUCUGUUACCGGGAGGACACCUGGGUGCCUUCUAGCACCUCGUUUGGCAACAGCGGUAAACCCCCUCACCAACAGGGAAUGGAGGGUCCAAGGUCUAGCCUUCUUGACAAUGGUGAAAAUCUGCAUCAUGGCCAUGAGGAAGACAAAAGGAGAUAGAGUCGGAUGGAUUAUUUAUUAUUUUUUGGUUCCGAGGAUUGAACUCAGGCCCUCACACUGUACUACAGCCUUCUUUUGUAUUAUUUAUUUUGAGGUUCUUGUUAAAUCGCUAAGUUGCCCAGGCCAGACUGGAAUUUGUGAUCCUUCUGCUUCAGCCUCCCGGAGUGCUGAGGAGAAAAAAUCAAUUUAUGAAGAGAAGCAUGUUACCUGGGUUCACAGUUCUGAGGUUGUCACCAAUGCUGGGGCCCUGAGUCAGAAUUACAGGGUGCUGAGGAGCACAGAUUGGAGGAGAGAGCUCCUGGCCAGGGAGGAAAAGUGAGGAAGGAGGAGACCCAGUUCCCUAAGUUACCAGCCACAGUGGAAGCCACAUGACCAAGGACCUCCCCUGGGCCCUGCCCUUCCAGCCCCAUCUCCCCCAGCCCUCCCGCCAGCUGGCUGGGGACUCAGCUUUCAGCACUGGGCCUUUGGGGACGCUCCGCUCCCAACCAUAGGAGUCAUUACUGUGUUUUGUGUUCUGAACGUUAAGCACCUCUGCGUUUAUGCUUCCAUUUGUAUGGUACGGGUAUCUGGGGUAAUCUUCUGUGUGAGAAUCGCUUUCGUUUGUCACAGAUUGCGCAUCCUGGUUUGGUUCUGUGGUGCUUGGGAUGCAACUCAAGCUUCCGUAUCUUGUCUUUAUUCUGCGUUAUGCUGAAGAAAAUUGUCAUUUUAUUUUCUUUUUAAUCCAAAGACUUGCUUCAUAGAAUAUCUUUAAAUUCUCAUCAAAACAUAAUGUUUUCUUUGUAAGUUGAUUUUCUCUCCUCUGGGAGACUGAGGCAGGAAGAUCACAAGUUUGAGCUAAGCCUGAGCAACUUAGCAAAUUCACAAGAACUUCUCUCAAAUAAAAAACAGAGAGGGCUGGGAUGUGGAAUUUUUAUACUUAAGAAUGUCCACUCUAAUGUCUAGUUUUGUUGCAUUACAAUCAGAGAAUGUUGUUUGCAUUAUUCUGUUCUUUAGAAUUGUUGUAGUUAGGGGUUGUACAAUGAGAAUCAGGAUGUGGAGUUUAUAAUAUUGUUUUAUGAUGGUCACCCAGACCAUCAUAAAACACAAGAAAAUGCAGGAAAUUUAUCCACAGCACCAAAGACAUAGAAUAUCCAGGCUUGGAUCCCACAGCAGUGUCCCACUUGAGUCCAGAUGAAGACCUACAGCUCAUGACAAUGCCUUCCACAAGUCCAAUUGGAGGUCCAGAGCCCACAAGAAGGACUCACGCCAGUCUCUUUUACGGAUCCGUGUGGGGAAGACCCAAGGGUCAGCGGUUGAAGCCAGAAAGUCUAUGCCAGCGGGGUGAAGGAGCUGUGCUGGUAGGUUGAGGGUUCUAUGCUGGAGCUGAGAAGUCACAUUCACAACAAAGACCAGGGCUGUCCUGAAGGCACCACAGCUGUCCUCAACGACACGGAGGGCCCGAGCUCUUCCCACAACAGGCACAGUCAGGUACAUGCCAGGAAGCAGCGUGACGAGUUCAUCCUGGAGACCAAACAGCACAUGUCUUCCCCUUCAGAGCCAAGAAGCAAUGCCCAAUGUAAGGAUCAGAGCUUCUCCAGGAGAACCAACGGCUCAAACAGCAACUCGUAGGAGAACCUACAAUGCCUCAACGCCUCAGUGCAACAACGCAUUAAUGCCUUUCUUCUCUUUCUCCACCUCUGUAUUUAUGCAGGCAACUUUCCUCAGGUGGAGCAUCUACGCUCAGUGCCAUGCUGAUGUAAUCCAGCUGGUAUUAAAUUGACCACCAGUUCUUAAUCCAUAACAAGAAUUCUUCGAGUUUCUUUGUGGUUUAAUAUAAUGUCCCAUAUCUACUUAAAAGAAAAAUAACUGCAUAAUAUAUAUAACUUGAAAUUGUCUUAUAGGCUAUAUUAAGUUUUCUUCUCACUUAACAGUGAACAGAAAGCCAAAAUUAUAACCAGGCCAUGGCCCACGCCUGUAAUCCCAGCACCCAGGAGGCUGAGGUAGGAGGAUCACUGUGAGUUCAAGGCUGGCCUGCACUACACGGUGAAACCAUGUUUCAAAAAUACCCAAAAAAUGAAGAAAUAAAAUAAUGAAAACCAAAAUUAUAAGCCACUAGAGGAAAGUCUCUAACAUGGAAAAUAAAGAUCCAAAGACAUUUGAAAGGAACUAUUCCACAGGAAGGAACCAUUCCCAUAUCCUCCCCCCUCAAAAAAAAAAAAGGGAAAAAAUUACUACAAUGAUAUAUUCAGAGAAAUAAGAAAGUGUGUCUCUGAAACAAAAAUAGAGGUUAUAAAAAAAGAAAUAUUCUCAAAACACAGAAGAGUGCUUAGGAACGAAACUUACACAACAGAGAGGAAAAAUCAAUAGAAAGAAGGAAAUCUGCAGAUUGGAACACAGGAAAAGGAGACCGAGGACCGGAAGGGAAGCUGAUGUGCUUAGAUCAGAAAGCUUCCAGCUCUCCGGUACUAAGAAGCCCUUCACUGGGUGAGCUGCGGGGAGGAUUCCUGGUGCUAGAGUUUGCAGGGCUGUCCCACAAGGCCCCCACCCGAAGACCCUCCAGUCCCUGCUCACCUAUGGUCAGGACUCAGAAAAUAUCUCCCCUCUAGCUAAGGAGCUCUGCCACGCCCAACCCCACCCCAGCCUUUCACGCUGACAGAUUAACCACAUAGGCUAGGGAAAGGCUGACUGACCCCUUCUGAAUCAACAUCUAUAAAUAACCAGUUUUAACGCCGGCAGCAGGGCUUUAUAAAAUAAAUUUAAAAUAUACUUCCAAAAUUUUUUCAGUAGUAUCAUGUUUAGGGCUUAAAAAAAUUUUUUUUAAAAAUUCAAUACAAUAGUCUGUGACUAUACCAGAAUUGAUUGCUCCCGGUAGAAAAUUCAGAUGAGGCUGGGGAGGUCAAGUGCCUUUGACAUCUCUCUGCCAUCCCCUGCAGCUCGGCUCUGGAUAAUUAGGAUUCUCAAGUAGCUAAACCCUCCCCAAGUCUCCUUGGAGCCUUCCCCACUGGACCUGACUUUUGGAGUAGUGCGCUGGUCUCCACAUUGCCCAGGUUUAGCAGGCGCCCUGCGGAGUGGGACGGCUGGGUCUGAUCCCACAUUCUCCACAUCUGAUCAGGCUCAGCCCUGACCCGCAGCCCGCCCCGUCCUGCAGGUGGUUCUGCUCACUGUGGCCUGGCCUGCCUCCGGAAAGAAUCCUGCAGGGUCAGUUGGGCUAAAAGCCUUCCUUAUCGUUGAUGUUUUCACUUGGAGAUUUUCCAUCCUCUGAGCCCCACACUGGUCCUUGGUUGCAAAUUGCCACAGACCCUUGUUCCCUCGACCUGCUGUGGAGUCGUGAGAAAAGCCUGUCUUACUGAGGGUGACAAGAGCCGCUGGAGGGUGCUUUCACGCUUCUUCUCUGAGGUCUAAGUCAGUAUCUGUGUUCCAGACAGUCAGUGCCGAAGGGUGGAAGGGGCCGUCACAGCCGCCCUUUCCCCCUAAUGUACUGAUCCCUUUCUUGCCUCUCUUGAGCGUCUGACGCAGCACGGUCAUGGUUGGCUUUGAACUGAUUCAAAACAUGGUCGGUCGUUUGGACCUCAAGGAAGAGCCAGAGGUUUACACAAGCCAAGUCCACCACAUAAGGUGGGUGAGGACAGGCUGUCAUGUCUUCUCGUGACCGUCUUCCUGAUGGGUGCCACUUGGCAGCCACAUUCACCGAAUUUUUGAUCAUGUCUCAUAAAGAAACACACACGAAACUUCCAAAACUGCUUCAGCAAGUAGCCAGAAUGAUGGGAUACGUGUGCACAAUCAGGAAGGGGUACAGGCUGAGUAUUUAGAGUGGUAUGGGUGGCAGUGUGUCUUUUAUUAUAAUAAAUCUUAAUCAAGAUGUUUGCUUUAUUGUGCCAAACACCCUUUUAUUUCCUUACGCAAACUUUAGUUUAUGGCCACACUUCUUUGUAGGAAGCUCCCAUAAUGCUUUCCUCCCUACGACUCUGCCCACGUAGGAAAUCUAGAAACUAUUUUUUGUUCUUGUUUUGGUUUGGUUUAUUUAGAUAGUCUUGCUGUAUAGUUCAGGAUGUCCUUGAAUAUGUGCCCCAGCUGGUCUGGGACUCUCAGCGAUCCUCCUGCCUCAGCUUCCCAAGUGCUGAGAUUACAGACGUCUAUAAACCACUGGAGACUAGGAGAAUGGGGAUUACGGCAGUUUCUGCCACGGCAGCUUCGGCACAGGGGCUGUCCCCACCCUGUCACUGCUCCGUUCCAUGAAUCCAGGAGCUCGGUUCAACACAUGGGACCUGCAGAAAUCUCUGGGAAAGGAAGAGCAGCUGAAAGAAAGCAGGCAGGUCGUGCAAAGAUUUCAAUCUGUCCCUUGAAAAGAGAAGGCUACUGUCCUGUGGAAAUACUGCGCAAAGACGGCCCACAGGCAGGUUUUAGAGAGGAUUACAGGAGAAACAAACGUGAGAGCAGAACACGGUCUUCCUGCGCACAGUUUUGGUGCCUAGAACACAACCCGAGGUGUAAGUAAGCACUGGGAAGUAUUGGCUGGAGGGAGGAGGGUGCGAUGGUGUGGCCGUGUGUUAAUAAGUGAGCCCACGCGUGUGGGAAUCAGCGGUGUGCAGCCUCGGCCCAGGCUGCCCCCUGCUCCUGUGCAGCGGGAUCCCUUGUUUAUACGAGAUGACAAGCAGCCUGCAAAGCAGCCGAGGGAGGGUGGCCGGGACUGCGGAGCCCUGCCCGGGUGGGGCUCACCAAUUGUCUGAUGGGCUGAGAGGGUUCAGAGAGUCUGGGCUCCCUGCCAGGCAAUGUCAGUGUGGAAGGUCCAUCCAUCGGUUCCCUUCCAGAAAGAGCCAUUUCCAGUCCAGCUCAGCUGUUCCCCAAGGGAGACAUCCAAGUCCCGUGGCUAGCAGGGCUGUGUCCUUCUCUAUCAGCGUGGCCUAGAAGGGCAGGGAGGACUGAAGGAGCCCAGCCAGUCCCUGGGAAAUGAGACUUCAUUUCUAAGGUCGCACACACACUUGGGUAGCUUUUCAAUGGCGCAUUCCAUGCACAGAACAUCUAUGCAAACUAGGAAAUCAGUAAAAAUUAUAAAAUUACAAUUACACGUAUGAGAAAAAGGAAAGUGCCAGGGCAAGGGGUUGCAGCAGGCAGAGCUGAGGGAGGAAACAGAUGGGACUGAAAGCCAAAGCCAGGACCAGAGUGCAAGGCAAGAGCCCGGUGAGCGGCUAGGUGGGGAAGGAGAGAGGGAGAUGUCCUUGGGGACUGGAAAUCGUGGGUGAGGGUGUGGGGUCGCACACAACUGUGCUUCACCCACAUUGAAAGCCACAGUACCUCACUCAGGAGGUCUGCAAGGACCGAGUCUUAGAAAACGAGCUGGUGCCGGGAGGCUAAGGAGAUGAGGAGCCGAGGAGCCAUCUCUAUGGUUCCCAAACCCGGCUGCGUUUGGUGCUGCCUGUGAUGAAGACUCUUUGGCCAAACCUGAGUCGUGAACCCUUUGCCUUCCUUCUGUCUACAUCCCUCCUUGAGCUCUACAUUUAGCUUAUUUUGGUUUGAACGGGAAUCCUGCCAAGUGAGUUCAGGGAAAAUAUCCCCCCCCCUUGCUAUCCGUGCCCUGUGAAUAUCUGAUUAAAUGUCUUCCUCCCCCGCUCCGUGUCUCAUCCUGCUGACCUGCCUUCAGGAAGCAAGAACUCUGCUGAGCCAGCACAAAAAGAUACAUCAAGAUGUGGACAAAAGGGAAUCCUUGGUAGGAAUGUAAAUUGGGCUAGCCAUUACAGAAUGGACUAUCAAAAACCUCAAAAAAUUAGAGGCUUCUCAAAAAAUUAGAAACAGGACUGCCAUGGGAUCCAGCCAUCCUAUUCAGUAUCAUUUGCAACAACAUAGAUGGAAUAAAAUAAAACAAGCCAGACACAUAAAAGCAGGUAUGAUCUAAUCUCACUCACGUGCGGAAUCUAAAGUAGUCACAAGCAGAAGCAGAGUGGAAUGGUGUGUGUCCCUGGUUCAGCGGGCAGGAGAAAUGGAAAGGGUAAACUUAAAUUUCAGUUAUACAAGAUGCAUAAGUUACGGAGAUGCAGUGUACGAUAUAGUGCCUAUGGCUAAAAGUGUUAUAUUAUGGACUUACAAUCUUCUGACCAAGAAGCUUGGUAAGAACACCACUGAAUGUUCCUAACACACACAGAUAAUCAUAAAAUAGGCAGAAAGAAACUCGAGCAGUAAAUGGAUAAGUGUAUACCCCUAAUGGGUGAUAGUUCCCAGGGUAUGCCUACCCACCAAUGCCCUGAGUUGCAUACCUUAAAUAUGCGGAGAGUCUCAUGUCCACGCUACCACAAUAAAAUGAUUUAAGAAUCUUCUUGAGCUGAUCCAGCAAGAGUCCCCUUAGCUUCCGCCCUUCCUCUUGGGAGUUUCCCGUCCACCGGCCCCGCCCUGCUCCCCAGCUCUCCGUUCCCAGUCCAGGCGUUCUCAGGUUAACAGCACAGCAGAGCUGAGCACUCUCCCCUCCUGCAGCGCGCUCUGCAUGGCUGCUCCUGAACCGUCUUCCUCACCGUCUUCAGCAAGCGUCACCAGUACCGUUUCCUCACCACCACUGUACGAUGCCUGACCUAACCCCAGCCCGAGAAGCCCUCCACAGUCCAGGUCAGGGGCAGCUUCCUUUCACCCGUGGAGGAAUGAAAAGCUGUGAUCCAGACCCCUGGAGAGGGUCCUCACCACCAGACGCCCUUCCCUGGCUGAGAUCCGAUGGAGGGCUGGUCGCUGCCUCGACCUCUGGGUGCUGGCUGCAGCUCGCCUUGAGAGAGCACAGGGGUGGUGGGGAAUCAGGGGGACUUCUCUGUCCCAACGCUUUGUGUUACACUUUGGGUAGAAAGUUUCCUAAGAUGUGUUUACAUUGAGAUUGGCUUAUUGGGCGCUGUACGUGUCACUGGAUUCAUGCAUGGAGGAGCUCAGAGCUGUGUGUGCUGAGAACAGAUGGAGCCUGGUUGGCGGUGGUCACUGGGGUGUGGGCAGAAAGGGGUCUUAUCCCUGGCUCCUUCCCCGCCCCCUGCUUCCUGGCUGCCGUGUAUUGAGUGCUUUUCCCUCUGCCAGCUCCUUCUGCCAUCCUGUUUCUCCCUGGAGCCAACCAUGGGCUGAAACCGUGAGCCACAAUAAACCUCUCCUCUGUUAA
Molecule: long non-coding RNA, 10641 nt
Organism: Cavia porcellus (domestic guinea pig)
Lineage: Eukaryota; Metazoa; Chordata; Mammalia; Rodentia; Caviidae
Exons: 3
Source: RefSeq, a predicted model, not a curated record